Molecule: transfer RNA, 62 nt
Filed under: Dendronotus frondosus (frond-aeolis)
Lineage: Eukaryota; Metazoa; Mollusca; Gastropoda; Nudibranchia; Dendronotidae
Description: tRNA-Leu
Source: RNAcentral
UAUGAAAUGGCAGAACUAAUGCCUAAACUUUAAGCGUUUAUCAUGACUACUAAGUCUUUCAU